GGGAAAAUUCGGCCAAAUCCAAAGGGUGGAUUUUUGGGUUCUUGUUUGACUUGUUAAAAGUGUUUUAAAGUGUUUUUUGGAACCCCUAUGUACCCUAGUUUGGUUAUAUGUUAUUUCCCUAAAGUUUAAAUGGUUUUGGGAUGUUUUUGGAUGAAAAAUGUUCAUGGAAAUUUUUUGGGUUUUUCAUGAAUGUUCUUCAUUGUUCUUGACAUUUUUGCCAAGAACAAAAGGUUUGAUGUUUUGAUUCAAAGUUUUGAUUUAUUUCAUAAAGUUUUUGUUUUAUGAUUUAUCAAAUAUUUAAAUGUGUUAGAUAUUUAUUUGAAAGGUGAUUGAAAUUGUGUAAGGUGAUAGAAAUGUUGAUGGAUGUGUAAGAAGUACUUCUCUUACACACACACCAACUUAUUUCCACUUGCAUGGUUCCACUUGCAAGGCUUUAUGAAUUUGUUGAAAAAUUUCCAAAUUUUUGUGGACUUAUCUCCACUUUAUUUUCUCCCUAAAACCGGCCACCCUAUUAAAAUAGGGUAUUUUUUGGGCUUUUAUGCAAUUACAUAAAGUUUUGAUAUUUUUGUGUAUUUGUAUUUUGACCCGAAAGUUUACGUUUUGACGUUAAGGCCUAAAAACGCUAAAGGACAAAUUGUUUUGUUCCUUUAAUGAAGUUUUGAAUUUAUUGACAUUUUUGGGUUCUAGUUGUAAUUACAUGAAGUAGUGGACUUUUGUGUUUUUACAAAGUGACCCCAAAAGUUUGUGUUUUCGCGAUAUAGCCCAAAGGUUGUGGUUAUUGCAUGAUGGCCCAAAUUAGGUUGAGAACAAAAUUGUUUUGUCUCUUUAAAUGAGAAUUGGAUUUUCAUUUUAUUUAGCU
RNAcentral lists this long non-coding RNA (859 nucleotides) under Malus domestica (apple). RNAcentral's name for it is "long non-coding RNA (MDOM_LNC005682)". Lineage: Eukaryota; Viridiplantae; Streptophyta; Magnoliopsida; Rosales; Rosaceae. The record is from RNAcentral.